RNAcentral lists this ribosomal RNA (2212 nucleotides) under Campylobacter coli. Its description in RNAcentral is "partial 23S ribosomal RNA". It matches the Rfam family "Bacterial large subunit ribosomal RNA", at positions 1 to 2063 of the family's 2925-position model. Lineage: Bacteria; Pseudomonadati; Campylobacterota; Epsilonproteobacteria; Campylobacterales; Campylobacteraceae. The record is from RNAcentral.
AAAAAAGGUAAGCUACUAAGAGCGAAUGGUGGAUGCCUUGACUGGUAAAGGCGAUGAAGGACGUACUAGACUGCGAUAAGCUACGGGGAGCUGUCAAGAAGCUUUGAUCCGUAGAUUUCCGAAUGGGGCAACCCAAUGUAUAGAGAUAUACAUUACCUAUAUAGGAGCGAACGAGGGGAAUUGAAACAUCUUAGUACCCUCAGGAAAAGAAAUCAAUAGAGAUUGCGUCAGUAGCGGCGAGCGAAAGCGCAAGAGGGCAAACCCAGUGCUUGCACUGGGGGUUGUAGGACUGCAAUGUGCAAGAGGUGAGUUUAGCAGAACAUUCUGGAAAGUAUAACCAUAGAGGGUGAUAGUCCCGUAUGCGAAAAACAAACCUUAGCUAGCAGUAUCCUGAGUAGGGCGGGACACGAGGAAUCCUGUCUGAAUCUGGGUCGACCACGAUCCAACCCUAAAUACUAAUACCAGAUCGAUAGUGCACAAGUACCGUGAGGGAAAGGUGAAAAGAACUGAGGUGAUCAGAGUGAAAUAGAACCUGAAACCAUUUGCUUACAAUCAUUCAGAGCCCUAUGUAGCAAUACAGGGUGAUGGACUGCCUUUUGCAUAAUGAGCCUGCGAGUUGUGGUGUCUGGCAAGGUUAAGCAAACGCGAAGCCGUAGCGAAAGCGAGUCUGAAUAGGGCGCUUAGUCAGAUGCUGCAGACCCGAAACGAAGUGAUCUAUCCAUGAGCAAGUUGAAGCUAGUGUAAGAACUAGUGGAGGACUGAACCCAUAGGCGUUGAAAAGCCCCGGGAUGACUUGUGGAUAGGGGUGAAAGGCCAAUCAAACUUCGUGAUAGCUGGUUCUCUCCGAAAUAUAUUUAGGUAUAGCGUUGUGUCGUAAUAUAAGGGGGUAGAGCACUGAAUGGGCUAGGGCAUACACCAAUGUACCAAACCCUAUCAAACUCCGAAUACCUUAUAUGUAAUCACAGCAGUCAGGCGGCGAGUGAUAAAAUCCGUCGUCAAGAGGGAAACAACCCAGACUACCAGCUAAGGUCCCUAAAUCUUACUUAAGUGGAAAACGAUGUGAAGUUACUUAAACAACCAGGAGGUUGGCUUAGAAGCAGCCAUCCUUUAAAGAAAGCGUAAUAGCUCACUGGUCUAGUGAUUUUGCGCGGAAAAUAUAACGGGGCUAAAGUAAGUACCGAAGCUGUAGACUUGCGCACAACUUAGAUUAUUUAAGUUUAGAAUAUGAGAAACUAAGUUAUAUGUUUAGUUAUAUUUUUACUGAUUUUUAUAGAGUAAAGAUAGAAAUAAAACUUAGUAAAAUCAGUAAAAAUAUUCUUAGACUAAAGUUAAGUAGUUUAAGUUGUGUGCAAGUGGUAGGAGAGCGUUCUAUUUGCGUCGAAGGUAUACCGGUAAGGAGUGCUGGAGCGAAUAGAAGUGAGCAUGCAGGCAUGAGUAGCGAUAAUUAAUGUGAGAAUCAUUAACGCCGUAAACCCAAGGUUUCCUACGCGAUGCUCGUCAUCGUAGGGUUAGUCGGGUCCUAAGUCGAGUCCGAAAGGGGUAGACGAUGGCAAAUUGGUUAAUAUUCCAAUACCAACAUUAGUGUGCGAUGGAAGGACGCUUAGGGCUAAGGGGGCUAGCGGAUGGAAGUGCUAGUCUAAGGUCGUAGGAGGUUAUACAGGCAAAUCCGUAUAACAAUACUCCGAGAACUGAAAGGCUUUUUGAAGUCUUCGGAUGGAUAGAAGAACCCCUGAUGCCGUCGAGCCAAGAAAAGUUUCUAAGUUUAGCUAAUGUUGCCCGUACCGUAAACCGACACAGGUGGGUGGGAUGAGUAUUCUAAGGCGCGUGGAAGAACUCUCUUUAAGGAACUCUGCAAAAUAGCACCGUAUCUUCGGUAUAAGGUGUGGUUCGCUUCGUAUUAGGAUUUACUCCGAAAGCGAAGAAACUUACAACAAAGAGUCCCUCCCGACUGUUUACCAAAAACACAGCACUCUGCUAACUCGUAAGAGGAUGUAUAGGGUGUGACGCCUGCCCGGUGCUCGAAGGUUAAUUGAUGGGGUUAGCAUUAGCGAAGCUCUUGAUCGAAGCCCGAGUAAACGGCGGCCGUAACUAUAACGGUCCUAAGGUAGCGAAAUUCCUUGUCGGUUAAAUACCGACCUGCAUGAAUGGCGUAACGAGAUGGGAGCUGUCUCAAAGAGGGAUCCAGUGAAAUUGUAGUGGAGGUGAAAAUUCC